Long non-coding RNA from Acinonyx jubatus (cheetah), 667 nucleotides. RefSeq lists it as uncharacterized. NCBI's taxonomy places the organism in Eukaryota, Metazoa, Chordata, Mammalia, Carnivora, Felidae. The record is from RefSeq and is a predicted model, not a curated record. The transcript has 3 exons.
GAGGGCCCCGACAGGGGGGUGACCCGGACUUCCCGGGGCGCGGGCGGUCCACCGCCAAGAGCCCCCUGCGGCUGAGGGGCUGAGCGGCAGCCCCGCGCUUGCGCGCCGCGCUCCUCCUUGACCUGAGCCUUCCAGCCUUUAAAAUGCCUUCCAAAAGUAUCCCAUCAUAGAGAAGACAGCAUGGCUACCCAGGAGAUACGGCCUCUUGGAGAACUUGGGAGACCCCAACUUUAAAGAGGUGCAGAGUUAUGGGGAGAAGAUCCAGCACUGUUUGGACCACAGGGAAAGCAGGCCUUCAGACGAGAGUCAGGAGUAUCUUGAACAAAAAUGCAAGUAAAAUGAUUAUUUCUUCUUUUGAAUUAUCUUAAAUUACUGCAAUCUGAGUUAUGUGUUUAAUAUUCUGUUUAUUCAGAUUUUUUUGUCCCUUGUAUUGAGAGGUUUUUGGGAUAUCUGAUUUCUUCAUUUUCAGGAGUCUUCUAAACUUCUUACUCUGUAGAUAAACAGAAGGUGGAGGGAGGAGAGGAGAAAAAGCUACAGAAUCAGAGCUGAAAUAAGUGAAUUUUAUUCAAAGCUUUUAAAAUCACUAUGUAUUUCAGACAUGAAGUCACCUUGAUGUUUUUUUUCCCCUUACUUUAACUCCAGAUUGUCGAUUUGAGUCCUGUAUUCC